RNAcentral lists this ribosomal RNA (486 nucleotides) under uncultured bacterium. RNAcentral's name for it is "partial 16S ribosomal RNA". It matches the Rfam family "Bacterial small subunit ribosomal RNA", at positions 30 to 507 of the family's 1533-position model. The record is from RNAcentral.
AUUGAACGCCGGCGGCAUGCCUUACACAUGCAAGUCGAACGGCAGCACGGGUGCUUGCACCUGGUGGCGAGUGGCGAACGGGUGAGUAAUACAUCGGAACAUGUCCUGUAGUGGGGGAUAGCCCGGCGAAAGCCGGAUUAAUACCGCAUACGAUCCACGGAUGAAAGCGGGGGACCUUCGGGCCUCGCGCUAUAGGGUUGGCCGAUGGCUGAUUAGCUAGUUGGUGGGGUAAAGGCCUACCAAGGCGACGAUCAGUAGCUGGUCUGAGAGGACGACCAGCCACACUGGGACUGAGACACGGCCCAGACUCCUACGGGAGGCAGCAGUGGGGAAUUUUGGACAAUGGGCGAAAGCCUGAUCCAGCAAUGCCGCGUGUGUGAAGAAGGCCUUCGGGUUGUAAAGCACUUUUGUCCGGAAAGAAAUCCUUGACUCUAAUACAGUCGGGGGAUGACGGUACCGGAAGAAUAAGCACCGGCUAACUACGUG